Long non-coding RNA from Gossypium arboreum, 860 nucleotides. RefSeq lists it as uncharacterized. The record is from RefSeq and is a predicted model, not a curated record. The transcript has 3 exons. Lineage: Eukaryota; Viridiplantae; Streptophyta; Magnoliopsida; Malvales; Malvaceae.
AGCCAUUCUUUCUAUAUUUUUUUUAAGAAAAUAUUGUACUUCAUUUUUACAAAAUUCUUCCAUUCCUUUAUUCGUCUAUAUUAGCCUUACUUUUAUUAGAAUUUGUCUUUCAUGAAAAUUAUUUUUAUAUGGUAAUAUUACUUCUAUUCCAAAAGUUAUUAGGAAUGUCAUUUUCUUCAUCUUUCCAAUGUGAAUGAGAAAAGGGAGGGGAGAGAAAUUUUCCAUUCUUUACAAAUUAGUUUUUUUCCAUCAAUUUCAUCAAUUUCACUCAAAAAUCUUGAAAAUUUUCAUAGCCACCAAAAAGGAAAAGUGAAGUAGAGAUUCUAGAGAGUUUGAUUAUCAUCUUGGAAAAAAGAAAUUGGAUUUGGAAGUGAAAAAAGUUGAGAAGAAAGUGAAGAGAUUAGAGAGACAAGUAGAAAAAAAGAAGAAAUGAUGGAAGUGUUGGAAACGAAGUGAAGAUGGUGACAAAAGUGAGGAAGGAAGAGAAUUAAAAGCAAAAUAGUGAAAUUCUAGCAGAAGAGAGGUGGUAAAGGCUUGAAUUGAAGCUUUAGAGUGAAGAUCAAUCUCAACUCAUCACAUCACAUCUUAAAGCUUAGAAGAGGGUAUGUUGUUGAUAUUUUGGUAAUAGUUUAUGGUAUGUACGUAGGUUUAAACCAAGUAUGUAUGUGAAGAUUUCUAGUGGAAUCAUUUGAUGGACUUUGAGCACCUCGUUAACUUUGCAAACAUAGUUAUAUCUGAUUGAGUUUUAAGUUGAAUUAUGUGAUGUUUAAGGUUGGAAAUAGGUAAAUAUGAAUGAUAUGUUUGUUGAACUGGUUGAAAAGUGUUAAACAAGUAUUGAUUUAGGUGUUGUAAAUUGAAAA